UCUGGGCCCGCCGGGGGAAUGCGGUUCUGGGCCCGCCGGGGGAAUGUGGUUCUGGGCCCCGCUCAACCGGGGGGCCGCGCACCGGCCGGAUUCCUUUGGGGACCAGCAAGAGCCAUGGAGCUCUGUGUCCAAGCGGCACGUUAAACAGUGGCACCACACUGCGGGUCACCAGCGAGCGCAGGAGAAACGCGACUCCAGUGUGUGACCUCACGUGCUCACACCUUGCCUCGGGCACGGCAAGUCAGAGAGAAGCUGUUGUGCACACCACAGAAAAACUGUGCUCACGCAGGGCUGUAGAACAGCGUGUCUGAUCUAGAGCAGCACCGACAACGUGGGGGUUGUAGAACAAGGAGCUCUGGAGCAGCACUGACAGUAUCCCCAGUGUCAUCUGUGAACUUACUGAGGGUGCCCUCCAUUGUCCAGAUCAUCAAUAAAGGUAUGAAGCAGGACUGGGCCCAGUCCUGAGCCCUGGGGAACACCACUAGUGGCUGGUCCCGGCUGGAUGUGGCACCAUUCCACCACUGUCUGGGCCUGGCCAUCCAGACAGUUUUUAACCCAGCCAAGAGUGCACCUGUUCAGCUGCAGCUUCUGCAGGAGAAUCCCAUGGCACACAGUAUGGAAGGCUUUACUGAAGUCCAGGAAGACACAUCCACAGCCUUUCCCUUGCUCACUGCCAUAAAGAGAGAUCAGUGCCACAGUUCAAACUCAUCCAAUACAGAGGAGAUCAAAGCCUUUGCUUGCUGGGAGAAGGCUGGAAAGAGGAAGUCAUUCUCUUAGACCCAAAUCUCUCUGUCUCAAUAGGCCACACCACAGCUGUACAGACAGCAUUUCUCUUCUUCACUCACAGCUUAAACUCAGUGCUGCAUUUCUGAUUUCUAAAGAGUAAACUUCAAAUAAAAUCUUCAGUUGUGAAAGACUGAAGGUAAUGCAUUAGAAUUGACUCAUUCAGCAGGUCACUGAACUACAGGCAGUUACGAAAAGGAAAUGAAUCUCCAAGCAAAACCAAAAUAGAGAACCAAACAGAGGAAUGUGUCCAAAACACAUCCUGUUUUCAGAUCAUCCUGUGUGCCCCUGCUUCCAGAAACCAAUUUUUAAUGUGACUCUAAAGUCCUCCUCAGGCACCAGAAACUCCUUGCAGAAAAGACAUUUAAGAAGGGAAGGCCAGGAGGAAGAGGUGAAGAAGGGUGGCACGUCAGAAGUUCUGUUUUAUUGUUGGUGGUGCUUUAUGCAUUGUGAAGGUAUUUUCUUAAACAAGAAAACCUCAUUCUCCUUCAGAUACCGACUCAGCAGCCUUAAUAGAUUGUCCCCUUUCCAUUGUGCUUGCAGAUAAAUAAGAUACAUUUGAAAAGGACUGAAAGGUAGUAGGGACAGCUAAGACUCAAGAACUGACUGUGCUGGUUUAUGUUCUGGCUUCACAGGACAGCAUGCAGAGGAAAGUAUGAGUCAGAGCCUUUCCUAUUAAAUUCCCCAUGAUACAACAAGAAAUACUUCCAAAAUACCUCUAUCUGUGUGUCAUCACCACCCCAGCACAUAAGGCAAAAAUGCUCACGCAGCAUUACCGUGUUACAAGGCAGUGGCUGUGACGGGGAGAGAGGAAAAGCAAUAUAAUGGCUUGGGGUACUACAGCACAUGGGGCUGUUCUGACAGAACAACGCAGGGCUUUGGGUGCAGAGUGUUGUGAAAGCUGUGUAGUGUCAGCGUCGGGCACAGGCCCUCCCAGCUUGGAGAUGUUGCUGUCAGAAAGAUAUGCCUCUCCAGAACUUCCAUCCUCACUUGUGCUCAUAGCAACUUCUCAAGUAACUUUUGCUAAAUGCAUCGGUUCUCUCUUCAGAAAGGCCUUGGCUCGACACGCCCCCGCCGGACGUUUGGGAAGGCUUUUCAUACCAAGCGAUUUUCAUAAGGUCUAUCGUGCCACCAGGAGGACUUCUACUGAACUACACUUUUAAAUGUUCCAGGCCUGGUUAAAUACUACGGUUUGACAGAUUAUACUUGUGAUUAUUUUUACUGACUUAUGAAAAAAACCCAUUUUUUAAAAUUUCCGCUAUCUGCAGUAUUUUUAUUUCUCAUAGGUUCUCUAAAUCGAUUUAAAUACAGAGGCGACAACUAACAGAAAUUCUGCCUUUUUCUUUUUGUCUGAGGUGGGAAACUGCAAAAGAAUAUGCACAUAGGUAAAACUUCGUGGAACGUGUCAUUUAGUAUGAAACGACGUGUCCAGUUCUGGGCUCCUCAGUACAAGGGAGACAUGGAGCUACUGGAGAGGGUCCAGCAGAGGCCACAAAGAUGAUGAGGGAUCUGGAGCAUCUCUGAUGAGGAGAGACUGCGGGAGCUGGGCCUGGUUAGCGAGAGAACAGUGAGGGGGGAUCUCAUUAAUGCAUAUAAAUAUUUCCAAGAGUUGUCAAGAGGAUGGUGCCAAACUCUUUUCUGUGGCACCUAGAGACAGGAUGAAGAGCAAUGACCAUAAACUAAAACACAAGAAGUUUCACAUCAACAUAAGGAAGAACUUCUUUACACUGAGGGUGGCAGAGCCCUGAACAGCUGCCCGGGCAGGGUGGAGUCUCCUCUCUGGGGACAUUCAAACCCGCCUGGACAUGUCCCUGUGUACCCGCUCCAGGUGCCCCUGCCCGGGCAGGGGGUGGGACUGGGGGAUCUCCAGAGGUCCCCUCCGACGCCAACAAUCCUGUAAUUCUGUGACCCGCAGGCGAUAAUUUCGUCAGCACCUAACGCAGAAAGGGAGGGAGUCCCCCCGUUCCCGGUGUCCCCCGUUCCCGGUGUCCCUCGUUCCCGGUGUCCCCCGUUCCCGGUGUCCCUCGUUCCCGGUGUCCCCCGUUCCCGGUGUCCCCCCGUUCCCGGUGUCCCCCCGUUCCCGGUGUCCCUCGUUCCCGGUGUCCCCCGUUCCCGGUGUCUCCCGUUCCCGAUGUCCCCCGUUCCCGGUGUCCCCCCGUUCCCGGUGUCUCCCGUUCCCGGUGUUCCCCGUUCCCGGUGUCCCCCGUUCCCGGAGUCCCCCCGUUCCCGGUGUUCCCCGUUCCUGGUGUCCCGCGUUCCCGGUGUCCCGCGUUCCCGG
This is a long non-coding RNA of Chiroxiphia lanceolata (lance-tailed manakin), 3061 nucleotides long. RefSeq lists it as uncharacterized. Lineage: Eukaryota; Metazoa; Chordata; Aves; Passeriformes; Pipridae. The transcript is spliced from 3 exons. The record is from RefSeq and is a predicted model, not a curated record.